This 480-nucleotide ribosomal RNA is filed under the name uncultured bacterium. RNAcentral's name for it is "bacterial SSU rRNA". It matches the Rfam family "Bacterial small subunit ribosomal RNA", at positions 25 to 507 of the family's 1533-position model. The record is from RNAcentral.
CAGAGCGAACGUUUGCGGCGGGCCUAACACAUGCAAGUCGAACGCACUAGCAAUAGUGAGUGGCGCACGGGUGCGUAACACGUGGGUAAUCAACCCUUCAGCUUGGGAUAACGACUUGAAAGGGUCGCUAAUACCGGAUACGGCGCGGGAGGCUUCGGCUUCUCACGAGAAAGCCUCGCAAGGGGCACUGAAGGACGAGCCUGCGGCCCAUCAGCUAGUUGGUGAGGUAAGAGCUCACCAAGGCGAAGACGGGUAGCUGGUCUGAGAGGAUGAUCAGCCACACUGGAACUGAGACACGGUCCAGACUCCUACGGGAGGCAGCAGUGGGGAAUAUUGCGCAAUGGGCGAAAGCCUGACGCAGCCACGCCGCGUGAGCGAUGAAGGCCUUCGGGUCGUAAAGCUCUGUGGGGAGAGACGAAGAAAGCCCGUGAAGAGCGGGCCUUGACGGUAUCUCCUUAGCAAGCACCGGCUAACUCCGUG